This 649-nucleotide ribosomal RNA is filed under the name uncultured bacterium. Its description in RNAcentral is "bacterial SSU rRNA". It matches the Rfam family "Bacterial small subunit ribosomal RNA", at positions 747 to 1395 of the family's 1533-position model. The record is from RNAcentral.
UCAGAUGCGAAAGCGUGGGUAGCAAACAGGAUUAGAUACCCUGGUAGUCCACGCCGUAAACGCUGUCUACUUGGAGGUUGAGGUUUUAGACUUUGGCUUUCGGCGCUAUCGCAUUAAGUAGACCGCCUGGGGAGUACGGCCGCAAGGUUAAAACUCAAAUGAAUUGACGGGGGCCCGCACAAGCGGUGGAGCAUGUGGUUUAAUUCGAUGCAACGCGAAGAACCUUACCUACUCUUGACAUCCAGCGAAGCCUUUAGAGAUAGAGGCGUGCCUUCGGGAGCGCUGAGACAGGUGCUGCAUGGCUGUCGUCAGCUCGUGUUGUGAAAUGUUGGGUUAAGUCCCGCAACGAGCGCAACCCUUAUCCUUGUUUGCCAGCACAUAAUGGUGGGAACUCCAGGGAGACUGCCGGUGAUAAACCGGAGGAAGGCGGGGACGACGUCAAGUCAUCAUGGCCCUUACGAGUAGGGCUACACACGUGCUACAAUGGCAGAUACAGAGGGCAGCGAGACAGCGAUGUUUAGCGAAUCCCUUAAAGUUUGUCGUAGUCCGGACUGGAGUCUGCAACUCGACUCCAUGAAGUCGGAAUCGCUAGUAAUCGUGGAUCAGAAUGCCACGGUGAAUACGUUCCCGGGCCUUGUACACACUGCCC